Long non-coding RNA from Empidonax traillii (willow flycatcher), 206 nucleotides. RefSeq lists it as uncharacterized. Lineage: Eukaryota; Metazoa; Chordata; Aves; Passeriformes; Tyrannidae. The record is from RefSeq and is a predicted model, not a curated record. The transcript is spliced from 2 exons.
AGCACACAGGUUUUGGUGUUGUGAAAUACAGAGGAGAACAGAGUCAUGCCCCAGGCAGUGAUUUCAGAAGGACCUGUGAAGGUUCUUGGGAGUCUUGCAAGAGAAAACUGCAGCAAUUUAAUGCCUUUCCAAAUUAUCAUUUGUUGCAUAUAUUGCCUGAUGGUAGUUUUGAAACAAAAGUAAAAGGAGAUGAUUUACAAACAGUG